AAGGCCUUCGGGUUGUAAACUGCUUUUGNNCCGAACGAAAAGCUUUGGGUUAAUACCCUGGAGUCAUGACGGUACCGUAAGAAUAAGCACCGGCUAACUACGUGCCAGCAGCCGCGGUAAUACGUAGGGUGCAAGCGUUAAUCGGAAUUACUGGGCGUAAAGCGUGCGCAGGCGGUUUUGUAAGACAGAGGUGAAAUCCCCGGGCUCAACCUGGGAACUGCCUUUGUGACUGCAAGGCUAGAGUACGGCAGAGGGGGGUGGAAUUCCGCGUGUAGCAGUGAAAUGCGUAGAUAUGCGGAGGAACACCGAUGGCGAAGGCAACCCCCUGGGCCUGUACUGACGCUCAUGCACGAAAGCGUGGGGAGCAAACAGGAUUAGAUACCCUGGUAGUCCACGCCCUAAACGAUGUCAACUGGUUGUUGGGUCUUAACUGACUCAGUAACGAAGCUAACGCGUGAAGUUGACCGCCUGGGGAGUACGGCCGCAAGGUUGAAACUCAAANGAAUUGACGGG
This 513-nucleotide ribosomal RNA is filed under the name uncultured bacterium. Its description in RNAcentral is "bacterial SSU rRNA". It matches the Rfam family "Bacterial small subunit ribosomal RNA", at positions 411 to 917 of the family's 1533-position model. The record is from RNAcentral.